ACAUUUGUUUGUUUAUUUAUUUCUUGACUUGUUUGCACUACAUGUCCCCCCCCCCUCGCGCGCUCGAGUGGACAGACUCGAUCCGGACGUUUAAACGCGCAAACGAUCAUCACCCAGCAGUGUCACCCAAUGUCAUGCAAAUCAUAGUUCACGAUUUCCACUUUUUUAACAACCACACCUUGAUCCAGUUGUGCUUCCCAUCAGAACCACGGAUCCUCAUUAGCGCAAGCUCUCAAUAAUUAAUACCCACCAAAUGACCAAUGUCCACGUUAGAAAGUCACCAACACAAACAACGUCCCUGUGCCACUUUAAUUGUUUGUCAAAGAUGAAACGCACAAGAAGAAUCCGCUGCGAACUACCCCGCCUCCCUCGCGCUGAACAGACUAAUAACAAUCGACCCCAAAUAAGCAGAAGUAAAAAAAUAAAUAACUAGAAACGCUGCGGUAUUAAGAUAAAGUUAUAAACGAUAACCAACCGUAUGAGCCGCGUCGUCUCGCAGUAAACGGGGGAUGAGGUCUCAGAUGAGCUCGCACACACAGACUCGGGAGAAGACCGCACGUCCCGAGUAGACUCCUGCACACACGAUGCCGCGCGCCGCGCGCGUUCACGUUAUAUGCGCGUACCCGACACCCACCGCAGGACUCCACAGAUACGAACUUUUUUCAACAGAUUGUCCAAAGUCCACUUCAUGUAAAUGCAAGGAGGAAGCUGAUCAGCUGACUCAACCGCAGGUCGAACAUUAAACCCUGCAUGCUGAGAAGUUGACCUCCGGCCCAUUCCAAACCAAGACCAUAACAACUUUUUGUUGUUGUUGUUCUGAAUAUAUAAGCUGCACUCUUUAGAGAUGGCGUGUGUUGAAUAAAUCUGGCUUAAGACGGCUUCGGCCAUGUCUCUGUCUUUGAGGAGACCUGCAGGGCUCUCUUUUUGGAUUUUCGUGUGUCUCCUGCUCAUCCUCACUAAGAUGUUGACCUCCCUGGUUCUCUUUGCUGGUGUGUUCAUCGUCUCCAAAGAGGUCCUCAUCAGUCCCUUUCAAUUUUGUCCUACGCGUCAACAUGGCGAGCCAUCCUGCUCGUCCAGGGAACCCAUCGGCGGAGAUGAAUCGGAGAUGAAAACGAACCUCCUGGCAACCGCGGUUCUCCUGUGUUUGUACAUCCCCGUGGUGCUCGUGGCCUUUGCCCUUCUGGCCAUGCUGCUGGCAGCUUACAGCAGAGACAGAGCAGCGGUCUGGUUCAGCGCGGCCUGCCAGGCUGCGUCAAGCCUGCUCGUCCUGACUGGGGUUCUGAGUUUUGUGGCCCUCUAUCAGACGUACGUGAACUGGGAAAACAUGACCGUCUGGUUCUACUUAUGUGUGCUUGUGCCAGUGGAGCUGCUUGCCACGACUGUGCUGACUUGCAAGUCCGGGAAGAGGCUGACGUCUGAAUGGGAGUAGAUCGAAUGGGAAGUCCACCUGGUUAAACUUUAUUCAGGAAGCCAAAGUGCUUGACUAUGGACUAUAGUUUAGUUGAUGCUCUUCACCAUUAGAAUAAAAGUACUUUGUUUUUUUGGUUCUUUUAUUGUAUUCCUUGAGGCAUAUGCUGCUGAAAAGCAAUAAUAUAUUUCAUGAUAAACCCUUCUUUGGUGCAAUAGACUGGAGCAUACUGCGCUGCUUAUGUGUCCUGCUGUAAUUCCGUGCUUAAAUAUCUUGCAAAAAUAAAAACAAAUGUUGGAGUAAUAUGGUUUGCUUUAAUGCAAUGGUGGUAGAACACAAUACAACAAAUCUUUAAUGUCGACAACUUGGGAUGAAAUACUUCCUUAACAAAUGAUUUUGUUGACGACUCUAAAGCACCUCGCAGAGCUCAAACCGGCUUUUGGAGUUUUCCCGAUAUUUAGCUUUUAAACAAUUAAGAGUUUAAUCUUGGACGACCAUAGGCGAGGUGAGGAUUUACUCAACGGUAACCGUGCACACUGUUUGAAGAAGACAAAGUCUUGACAAUGAACACUUAUCCGGAGAAGCUCAUCUCAGAGUCCAGAACACGGGCAAAGGUAUUUAAGGCUUUCCAGUUUUCAACGUUUGUACAAAGUUGCUUAAGAUAAUGGAAAUAAAGGACAGUGCAGCCACGGCCACUUCAUAAUUCAUCAAAGCUGAAAAAACUUGUGGUGGAAAGAUCUCUUUACCUAAAACCCACUUGCUUUAGGUUUCACAUUAUAAUUUAAAAAGUACUACUACACAUCUAUACGUCACUCAUGUUCCGGCUUUCUGGUCAAAGCUUUCAGCAAAACAUUUCUGUUCACAAAAUACCACGUUAUUUGUGUUAAUGGGAGUUCCAUUCACUCAUGUCAGCUGUAUGAAAUACACAGCAGCUCCUUUAACACUGAACUCCAGACUAAGAUGUGCAAUGCCGCACCAAAAUGUGGUUCUAGAUGGCGUAUGCUGGAGUUCAUCAUCAUCAGGUGAAAAAUAUUUCCCUCACAAGCCGCAAGGCAUCAUCCUUCUCUUUUCCCUCAGCCUUCAGUCCGAUAUUCACCAGACCGCCAUGAUCCCGUGCAGGUCCUGCCCUCUGACCCUCAGGGCCCAGAUGCCGCGGGCUGAUCUCCACGUCUGUUUCUGAAACACACGUUGUAUCCAGGGCAUCACCGCCGUCUGAAGACUGCUCCGCUGAUGUCAAAAGCUCUGCCGUCUUCUCUGCAGUGGCCGGGUCCUCGCCCGUGUUCACAGUGGUGGCUGCUGCCUUGUCUUCAACCUGUGUGUGUGUGUGUGUGUGAGUCAGAUGGGGGUGAAUAUAUUUCAUUUCAUAUAAAAUGCUAAAUUGUGCAGGAUAAUAAUACAUUUCUUUGUAUUUGUUCAGACAGGUCUUUGUGCAGGCGGACAAAUGUGUUUGGCACAAAAUUGGAAAAAGCAAAACAUUUAUAUAUAAUGCGAUAAAAAUAUUUGUUUUUUAAGAUUUAAGAAUAUUGGCACGAGUUCACUUAAUUUGCGCCUCCAAAUGUUGGAAGAGAGGGGAAAAGCGCCACCUUGCGGUCAGCGGGGAGAGCGACAUCCUCGCGGGCGGCGUCGGUGAGACGCGAGAGCGCCGCCUCCACCAGCUCCUUCUCGUUCAUGCAGUAGAAAGCAGCCCUGAAAAACACACCGCCGCGUUUAGUCGAAACACACACCGCGCAGCAAAGACGGAGACCUGGUUCGGUUCGUUUCUGCGUCGUCUACCGGGCAGUUUUCCGCUUCCUCGCGCUCUUCAGCGGCUCCUCCUCCUUCGCUCUCGCGCCCUUCUUCGCCAUCCACGACGGCAGCGCGCGCCGCGCCUUCGGACAUGGAAACCCCGCGCGUUGCACGCGUGCGUUGCUUGAGGGGUGACCGGGGUCUUGCCGGUGAAGUGGCCGAAAGAGAAACGAGGGGUUUCCAAG
This is a long non-coding RNA of Gasterosteus aculeatus aculeatus (three-spined stickleback), 3378 nucleotides long. The record is from Ensembl. NCBI's taxonomy places the organism in Eukaryota, Metazoa, Chordata, Actinopteri, Perciformes, Gasterosteidae.